AAGUCGUAACAAGGUUUCCGUAGGUGAACCUGCGGAAGGAUCAUUAAUGAAUCUUGAAAGGGGUUGUAGCUGGCCUUUUCGUUUGAGAGGCAUUUUGUGCACACCCUGAUCAUCAUCCAUUUCAGACACCUGUGCACAUACUGUAGGUUGGUUUGUGAGGCAGGCACUUUCAUCGGUGCAGCUUUGUGAGCCUUCCUAUGUUUUUAUUAUAAACAACUGUCGUUUAAAGAAUGUUUAUUGCGUGCAACGCAUCUACAUAUACAACUUUCAGCAACGGAUCUCUUGGCUCUC
This is an unclassified non-coding RNA of 291 nucleotides. The stretch from base 1 to 46 matches the Rfam family "Eukaryotic small subunit ribosomal RNA", at positions 1786 to 1831 of the family's 1831-position model.